Molecule: long non-coding RNA, 444 nt
Filed under: Cicer arietinum (chickpea)
Lineage: Eukaryota; Viridiplantae; Streptophyta; Magnoliopsida; Fabales; Fabaceae
Description: long non-coding RNA (CARI_LNC003251)
Source: RNAcentral
CACGAAGAGAAAAUUAAUGACAUGUGUUGGAAUAAAGGUUUGCAAGAAAAUAGAAUGCCAAGAUACUCGAGAGACAAAUUACUACUUUGCUCAAAGUAAUUUUAGUGAAUUCCUUAGUUCCCCCUAUUGUGGAAUAGAGUUCGAACAAUUGUUCUAUGUAGUUGGAUAGAUCUUCAAUGCAUAAUUUGGAUUAGUAUUGAUUGCUUGUUGUCAUAUUGUGUUGCGCAUGUGUGCUUGUUAAUGCUUUGAUUUGUAAUCUCUUUGUAGUGCUGUUUGAAUCUCUCACUUAGCAUGACUUGUGCUAGUUUGUCUAUAUUCUCUUAACCUAAUAUUUUUGGUGUUUGGAAAAAAAACGGGGGAGUCAAAGGUAUUAUAGUAUAGCUUAGGGGAGGAUGAUGUUUCAUUUUUGGUCUUAGGUGAAAACUAUUUAUUUUUGAAUGAAAC